RNAcentral lists this ribosomal RNA (492 nucleotides) under uncultured bacterium. RNAcentral describes it as "partial 16S ribosomal RNA". It matches the Rfam family "Bacterial small subunit ribosomal RNA", at positions 29 to 507 of the family's 1533-position model. The record is from RNAcentral.
AGUGAACGCUGGCGGUAUGCCUAACACAUGCAAGUCGAACGGCAGCACAGUAAGAGCUUGCUCUUACGGUUGGCGAGGGGCGGACGGGUGAGGAAUACAUCGGAAUCUACUUCUUCGGGGGGGACAACGGAGGAACACUGACGCUACUACCGCAUACGUCCUACGGGAUAAAGCAGUGGUGCUUCGGACCUUUCCCGACUGAAUGAGCCGAUGUCGGAUUAGCUAGUUGGCAGGGUAAAGGCACACCAAGGCAACGAUACGUAGCGGACCUGAGAGGAUGAUCAGCCACACUGGAACUGAGACACGGUCCAGACUCCUACGGGAGGCAGCAGUGGGGAAUCUUGGACAAUGGGCGAAAGCCUGAUGCAGCAAUACCGCGUGAGUGAAGAAGGCCUUCGGGUUGUAAAGCCCUGUUGUUGGGGAAGAAAAACAGUGGAUUAAUCCCCGGAUGUUCUGACGGUACCUAAUGAGUAAGCAACGGCUAACUUCGUG